RNAcentral lists this ribosomal RNA (300 nucleotides) under uncultured Alteromonadaceae bacterium. Its description in RNAcentral is "bacterial SSU rRNA". It matches the Rfam family "Bacterial small subunit ribosomal RNA", at positions 115 to 423 of the family's 1533-position model. The record is from RNAcentral. Lineage: Bacteria; Pseudomonadati; Pseudomonadota; Gammaproteobacteria; Alteromonadales; Alteromonadaceae.
GCUUGGGAACUCGCCUUUGCGAGGGGGAUAACAGUUGGAAACGACUGCUAAUACCGCAUAAUGUCUUCGGACCAAACGGGGCUUCGGCUCCGGCGCAAAGAGAGGCCCAAGUGAGAUUAGCUAGUUGGUAAGGUAACGGCUUACCAAGGCGACGAUCUCUAGCUGUUCUGAGAGGAAGAUCAGCCACACUGGGACUGAGACACGGCCCAGACUCCUACGGGAGGCAGCAGUGGGGAAUAUUGGACAAUGGGCGGAAGCCUGAUCCAGCAACGCCGCGUGAGGGGAUGAAGGCCUUCGGGU